Molecule: ribosomal RNA, 1291 nt
Filed under: metagenome
Description: SSU rRNA
Rfam family: Eukaryotic small subunit ribosomal RNA
Source: RNAcentral
CUGGUUGAUCCUGCCAGUAGUGAUAUGCUUGUUUCAAAGAUUAAGCCAUGCAUGUCUAAGUAUAAGCGAACUUAUACAGUGAAACUGCGGAUGGCUCAUUAAAACAGUUUGAAUUUAUUUGAUGAAUGUAUGAGAAUACUACUUGGAUAACCGUAGUAAUUCUAGAGCUAAUACAUGCAACGACGCCCGACCGUUUCACUACGGAAGGGCUGUAUUUAUUGGAUACCAAAACCAUCCUUCCCUCGGGAAGUUUUGUUUGAUGAUUCACAAUAACUGAUCGGAUCGCCACUGUGGUGGCGACAGGUCAUUCAACAUUCUGCCCUAUCAGCUUUCGAUGGUUGUGUAGUGGACAACCAUGGCCAUAACGGGUAACGGAGAAUCAGGGUUCGAUCCCGGAGAAGGAGCUUGAGAAUUGGCUACUACAUCUAAGGAAGGCAGCAGGCGCGCAAAUUACCCAAUCCCGAUUCGGGGAGGUAGUGACAAAAAAUAACAAUACCGGGCCUUUUUGGGCUUGGUAAUUGGAAUGAGGGAGAGUUAAACGGACCAUCGAGUAUCCAUUGGAGGGCAAGUCUGGUGCCAGCAGCUGCGGUAAUACCAGCUCCAAUAGCGUAUAUUAAAGUUGUUGCAGUUAAAAAGCUCGUAGUUGGACUUGUGUGCGCUGUCCGCGGGUGGCCUGCGCCCAAAAGGGCGUUUCGGUUCGGCCCCGGUGGCGCCUUGAAAUCUGCAGCUGGGGGGACGUUGGCCUUAACUGGUCGGCGACCGCACGCCGGCUGCUCGGUUACUGUGAGAAAAUUAGAGUGUUCAAGGCAGGCAUUGGGUGCAAUUGAAUACAUUAGCAUGGAAUAAUAAAAUAUGGCUCCUGCCGUAUUUUGUUGGUUUUGACUGGUGGGAGUAAUGAUUGAUAGGGACGGUUGGGGGUGCUAGUAUUGAGCGGCCAGAGGUGAAAUUUAUGGGUUCGCUCAAGACUAACUUAUGCGAAAGCAUUCACCAAGGACGUCCUCUUUAAUCAAGAACGAAAGUUGGGGGAUCGAAGACGAUCAGAUACCGUCGUAGUCUCAACCAUAAACUAUGUCGACUUGGGAUCGGCGGUAGUUUUUUCAUUAAGACACUGUCGGGACCACGGGAGAAAUCAAAGUGUCUGGACUCUGGGGGAAGUAUGGUCGCAAGGCUGAAACUUGAAGGAAUUGACGGAAGGGCACCACCAGGAGUGGAGCCUGCGGCUUAAUUUGACCCAACACGGGGAAACUUACCAGGUCCAGAGAUGUAGAGGAUUGACAGAUUGAAGCUCUCU